UCUGGCCUUCCUCAUUCAUGUGUGUCUGUUCAGGCUUGUUUUCUCUCAGAAGCUAGGCAGGGCUGUGCCUGGUUAGUAUCUUGAUGGGAGACCACUUGGAAACAUCAUUGAUGCCAGAG
Molecule: ribosomal RNA, 119 nt
Filed under: Monopterus albus (swamp eel)
Lineage: Eukaryota; Metazoa; Chordata; Actinopteri; Synbranchiformes; Synbranchidae
Source: RNAcentral